RNAcentral lists this non-coding RNA (117 nucleotides) under Gorilla gorilla gorilla (western lowland gorilla). The record is from Rfam by way of RNAcentral. Lineage: Eukaryota; Metazoa; Chordata; Mammalia; Primates; Hominidae.
GCUGGGCAUGGUGGCUCAUGUCUGUAAUCCCAGAACUUUGGGAGGCUGAGGCAGGCGGAUCACCUGAGGUCAGGAGUUUGAGACCAGCCUGGCCAACAUGGUGAAACCCUGCCUCUA